Molecule: long non-coding RNA, 1382 nt
Organism: Hipposideros armiger (great roundleaf bat)
Lineage: Eukaryota; Metazoa; Chordata; Mammalia; Chiroptera; Hipposideridae
Exons: 4
Source: RefSeq, a predicted model, not a curated record
UCUGUGCCCCUCUGUGCUAGAGGGCAGGCUGAAGGUGACACCUGCGAAGCUCAGAUGCAGGGUCUGAGAGCUGUCCCCUCUCCCAGUAGGGAGCAAAGCAGCCAGCGUGGCGGUUAAGUGGUGGCUACGAGCACAGGUGCCCAGGUUUGAAUCCCGGUCCUGCUUCUCACAUCCCUUCAUUGGCUGUAAUGGGCGUCAUGAAAUCAUCUGCUUCAUAUCUCGCUGUGAAGCCCAUGUGAUAAAAAUAAGUAAAUACAUGUGACCUGCUCAGAACAGGGCCUGGUGUCAGAAGUCAGAGCUCAUCAUCACAGCAGCUGGGACAGGCCUUCAUCCUGGAACUUCUCUCCUGUCCUCUGCCAUUUGUUCACGUGCUUGUCUCCCCCAUGAGGUCUCUCUCCUGAGGACAAACCAAUUUAAUGAGACAAAUGUAAAAAUGAAUAAAAGGAAAACCCCAGAGCAAACAGCACAUGGCAAGCGUGGCCGGGGACAUCCUCGGACAUCAAAGGCUCGCCAAGGCUCCGAGGUGCAUCAAAGAUGCCGAGAAACAAACAUGCAGCGGCCGCCCCUCUCCUGGGGCCAAUCAUUAAGACAAAGGUCCACCAAUGGCUAAUGGGACCGCUUCCCAGAAGUACAGCAAAACAUUGCAGACAAUUAUUCAAAUGAUCAUGAGUAAGAACUUGGCUUUGGGGUCAGGCUAGUUUAAAAUCUCACCUCCACUGCUUACUCCCUGCAGACCUCUGGUACGUUUGGCUGUGUUGAGUGUGGUUAAGAGUAUGGGCUUCCAUGUCCAAGCUCCCGGGAUUAAAUCAGUGGUGUCCUGUACCGGCUUGUACACCUCACAAGAACUGAUUGUUAAAUUUUCAAGGAUUUUGGGAGCAAAAAAUUUAUUUAACACAUUAAAUAACUUUAUAACUGAAUCACUCAUAUUAAAAACAAAGGUAAUAAAUGUUAAAAAAAAAUCGCUGCUCCCUAAUUAUUUUACCACUAUCUAUGCUCUGAGGUUAUUUACAUCCACUGUGCCUGUACAUGGAAAUACUACACAAUAGUGUGCACUGCACAUCUGUCCCCAACUCUCUAUUUGGCGACAUCACUUUGGCAGCUUGAAAUCAGCCAUAACGGGAAUAUUUACACCAUGGAAAGUGGCAAACACGAUAAACCAUGGCUUGAUUUAUUGUUUUCUUGAUGGUCUAGAUGUGAGAAAGCAACAGAGAGAAUGUUAAUGAGGCAGGUACAGCUUGUGUGUGGUUAUCACAUUGUAGUUAUUACGUAGUGAAAAUCAUAAAAACCCCCACAAAACCUAAGGAAAUACUCACUGUAUUUGAAAGCUCUGACCUGAUUCAGCAAAAAAGUCCCUCCUGUUACUGAAGAGAGAGAGAAGCUCC